RNAcentral lists this transfer RNA (75 nucleotides) under Kiloniella litopenaei. RNAcentral describes it as "tRNA-Thr". It matches the Rfam family "tRNA". Rfam says of the family: Transfer RNA (tRNA) molecules are approximately 80 nucleotides in length. Their secondary structure includes four short double-helical elements and three loops (D, anti-codon, and T loops). Further hydrogen bonds mediate the characteristic L-shaped molecular structure. tRNAs have two regions of fundamental functional importance: the anti-codon, which is responsible for specific mRNA codon recognition, and the 3' end, to which the tRNAs corresponding amino acid is attached (by aminoacyl-tRNA synthetases). tRNAs cope with the degeneracy of the genetic code in two manners: having more than one tRNA (with a specific anti-codon) for a particular amino acid; and 'wobble' base-pairing, i.e. permitting non-standard base-pairing at the 3rd anti-codon position. Lineage: Bacteria; Pseudomonadati; Pseudomonadota; Alphaproteobacteria; Rhodospirillales; Kiloniellaceae. The record is from RNAcentral.
GCCGUGGUAGCUCAGUGGUAGAGCACGUCAUUGGUAAUGACGGGGUCGGUAGUUCAAUUCUACCUCACGGCACCA